RNAcentral lists this ribosomal RNA (1120 nucleotides) under Halomonas sp. SKNB2. RNAcentral's name for it is "bacterial SSU rRNA". The stretch from base 1 to 901 matches the Rfam family "Bacterial small subunit ribosomal RNA". Lineage: Bacteria; Pseudomonadati; Pseudomonadota; Gammaproteobacteria; Oceanospirillales; Halomonadaceae. The record is from RNAcentral.
AAANNGGGGGAAAAGGGGACUACAAUGCAAGUCGAGCGGUCACAGAUCCAGCUUGCUGGAUGCUGACGAGCGGCGGACGGGUGAGUAAUGCAUAGGAAUCUGCCCGGUAGUGGGGGAUAACCUGGGGAAACCCAGGCUAAUACCGCAUACGUCCUACGGGAGAAAGGGGGCUUCGGCUCCCGCUAUCGGAUGAGCCUAUGUCGGAUUAGCUAGUUGGUGAGGUAACGGCUCACCAAGGCCACGAUCCGUAGCUGGUCUGAGAGGAUGAUCAGCCACAUCGGGACUGAGACACGGCCCGAACUCCUACGGGAGGCAGCAGUGGGGAAUAUUGGACAAUGGGGGCAACCCUGAUCCAGCCAUGCCGCGUGUGUGAAGAAGGCCCUCGGGUUGUAAAGCACUUUCAGCGAGGAAGAACGCCUAGCGGUUAAUACCCGCUAGGAAAGACAUCACUCGCAGAAGAAGCACCGGCUAACUCCGUGCCACAGCCGCGGUAAUACGGAGGGUGCAGCGUUAAUCGGAAUUACUGGGCGUAAAGCGCGCGUAGGUGGCUUGAUAAGCCGGUUGUGAAAGCCCCGGGCUCACCUGGGAACGGCAUCCGGACUGUNCAGCUAGAUGCAGGAGAGGAAGUAAAUUCCCGGUGUAGCGGUGAAUGCGUAGAGAUCGGGAGGAUACAGUGGCGAGGCGGCUUCUGGCUGACACUGACACUGAGGGCGAAGCGUGGUAGCAACAGGAUAGAUACCCUGGUAGUCACGCCGUAACGAGUCGACAGCCGUGGGUGCUAGCGCACUUGUGGCGAAUUACGCGAUAGUCGACGCCUGGGAGACGGCGCCAGGUAAACUCAAUGAUUGACGGGGCCGCACAGCGUGGACAGGGGUUAAUUCAUGCACCGAAAACUUACUACUCUGACUCUGCAAAUUGGAAAAACCUAAUGCUUCGGACCAAAACAGGGCUCAGGCUGCCCCCCCCUGUGGAAAGUUGGUAAGCCCGAACAGGCCACCUUGCCUUUUGCAGCCGAAGGCGGACUUAAGGAAUGCGGGAAACCGAGAAGGGGGAAAUUAAUCCCUGGCCUUAAAAUGGCACCCCUGCCAAGGUCGUCAAGGUGCCAUCCCAAGUGCCUUCC